AUGAGUUACUUAACAAGAGAAGGCAGGAGUUUCCUACCUUUCUUCUGCAAAUCCGGAAUGCCUUUAUGGCAUGAUCAUGUGAAAAAGUACCUUGAUGCAGUAAUGGAUUUGAUUAUCACUGGUUACUCUGUUUUCACGAAUUACUAUCCAACAGCAUGGAAGAACCAAAAGGUAGUUGAUCAGCAGGAUGGCAAGAGGAAGACAAGAACCAAAUUAAAGUUUGUUGUUGUGCAUGUCUGUAUCUAUCAAGAUUCAGUGCUAUGUAGAAAUGUCCCUGAGAUUUGUUUCACUCAACGAGACCAAACAAUCAGGAACACAAGUAGGAUAGUUGAUGCUUUUUUCAUUUUUCUUCUGAUAAAAAGGAAUCUUCAUCUGCCAAGAAUAAGGCCUACAAGCAUGUAUGCCUAA
RNAcentral lists this ribosomal RNA (408 nucleotides) under Triticum aestivum (bread wheat). RNAcentral describes it as "partial small subunit ribosomal RNA". The record is from RNAcentral. Lineage: Eukaryota; Viridiplantae; Streptophyta; Magnoliopsida; Poales; Poaceae.